AUCCGCCUUUAAACUUAAUACCGCCAAACUAAUACGGAGUAAACCUAAAAUGGCUUCACAGAUACAGCUCAAUUAUUUGGUAUUUCAAAUUUGCACGGAAAUGUUGUGUUGCUGUGAAUUGUACUUUAUCGGUGUCCGCUCCAAGAGAACUCUAUAAAAACAAACAAUAGCAUAUAAUAAUGCGUUAAACGUCUCGUGGGAUGUAAAUCUCAGUGGAAACAAAUUCAAUAAGAAUUCGGAGAAAUCAAAAUAUGAGGAAGGAACAACCAACCCAUGAAAAAUGUCAACAUUAAACGGUCAAUUUGUAGAAGACUUUCUCAAGACCCCAACUCGUGAAUUUUAAACAAAAUUGAGACAUCUUUAAUCAUCAAGUGCUGGAUUCUUAAAUAUUUUGGGGUCUCAAAUCGUGGAUUUUGACAUAGUUUCUCGGAUUUUAAAGAACAUUGCCGAGCCCAAAUUAAAUGAAAAUACCUAUUUCAGUGUCUUCAAGGAUUCAAGUCAGAGGAAUUUAAGGAAAAGCAAACAAUCCAUAAAUAAAGACGAUACAUUCGCCUAUUAAAUUUUCUAAAUUUACCGGAGAACAAAAUUAUUGGAGCUUAAUUUUGGGCUUAAAUUAUGAAAAUAAAUUGAUCCUAUAAGUUGCAUUA
Molecule: long non-coding RNA, 647 nt
Organism: Musca domestica (house fly)
Lineage: Eukaryota; Metazoa; Arthropoda; Insecta; Diptera; Muscidae
Exons: 2
Source: RefSeq, a predicted model, not a curated record